CCAAACCUGCGUAGUUCGAGUAGAUUGUUUAUUUUAGAACCAACAGUUAGAUUAAAGGGAGUCCGCCUUUGAAUGUGGCGUGUAGGCUUAAUCUGUUUUACUUAUUAAGAAACCCAUUAGCAUUCAACAAGACACCCACCUGUGUAAGCACAGGCUCUUAAAAUUCUCAAUCAGACGGCCACGCGGGAUUUUU
This is a non-coding RNA of Clostridium sp. CAG:793, 193 nucleotides long. The record is from Rfam. Lineage: Bacteria; Bacillati; Bacillota; Clostridia; Eubacteriales; Clostridiaceae.